AGGGCAUUCGGUGGAUGCCUUGGCGUAUAGAGGCGAUGAAGGACGUGAUAGGCUGCGAUAAGCCCGGGUGAGGUGCCAAUAACCUUUGACCCCGGGAUUUCCGAAUGGGAAAACCCACGACUUUAGUCGUAUCUGCGCCUGAAUUUAUAGGGCGUAGAGGCAAACCUGGGGAACUGAAACAUCUAAGUACCCAGAGGAAAGGAAAUCAAUAGAGACUCCGUUAGUAGUGGCGAGCGAACGCGGAUCAGGCCAGUGGUAUUUUAUAAGUAACGAGAACAAGCUGGGAAGCUUGACCUUAGUAGGUGAUAGUCCUGUAUCGGUACAACUUAUUUAAUAUCCUUGAGUAGGGCGGAACACGUGAAAUUUUGUCUGAAUAUGGGGCGACCAUGCUCCAAGCCUAAGUACUCCUAUACGACCGAUAGUGCACAAGUACCGUGAGGGAAAGGUGAAAAGUACCCCGAUGAGGGGAGUGAAAGAGAUCCUGAAACCGAAUGCCUACAAUUCAGUCGGAGCACUAUAUGUGUGACGGCGUACCUUUUGUAUAAUGGGUCAGCGACUUAGUUUUACUAGCAAGCUUAAGCCGAUAGGUGUAGGCGCAGCGAAAGCGAGUCUUAAUAGGGCGAAUUAGUUAGUAGAAUUAGACCCGAAACCGAGUGAUCUAGGUAUGGGCAGGUUGAAGAUGCAGUAACAUGCAUUGGAGGACCGAACCAGAUAAUGUUGAAAAAUUACUGGAUGACCUGUGCCUAGGGGUGAAAGGCCAAUCAAACUCGGAGAUAGCUGGUUCUCCGCGAAAACUAUUUAGGUAGUGCGUCAUGUGAAUACCAUAGGGGGUAGAGCACUGGAUGGGCUAGGGGGGCGCGAGCCUUACCAAACCUUACCAAACUCCGAAUACCUAUGAGUAAUGCAUGGCAGACAGACUGUGGAUGCUAAGGUCCAUAGUCGAAAGGGAAACAGCCCUAACCACCAACUAAGGUCCCUAAGUUAUUACUAAGUGGGAAAGGAUGUGGGAAGGCCAAGACAACCAGGAGGUUAGCUUAGAAGCAGCUACCCUUUAAAGAAAGCGUAAUAGCUCACUGGUCUAAAUAAGCCGUCCUGCGCCGAAGAUGUACCGGGGCUAAAGUAAUACACCGAAGUUGUGGAUGCAUAAUCUUUGAUUAUGCGUGGUAGCGGAGCGUUCUGUAAGUCGAUGAAGGGAUACCCGUGAGGGGUCCUGGAGAUAUCAGAAGUGAGAAUGCUGACAUGAGUAGCGAUAAAGAGUGUGAGAGACACUCUCGCCGAAAUCCCAAGGGUUCCUACGCAAGGCUAAUCCGCGUAGGGUCAGUCGGCCCCUAAGUCGAGGACGAAAGUCGUAGACGAUGGGAAUCAGGUUAAUAUUCCUGAACCUGCUGGAAGUGACGGAUGAGGUAAAUUGUACUUGCUUAACGGAUUGUUGAGUGCAGUGAACUUGUUCCAGGAAAUAGCUCCAGCGUGUAGACCGUACCCCAAACCGACACAGGUGGGAUGGUAGAGAAUACCAAGGCGCUUGAGAGAACUGCGUUGAAGGAACUCGGCAAAAUGCCUCCGUAACUUCGGGAGAAGGAGGCCCCAUUUUUGCGCAAGCAAGAAUGGGGGGCACAGAAUAGGGGGUGGCGACUGUUUACUAAAAACACAGGACUCUGCGAAGUCGUAAGACGACGUAUAGGGUCUGACGCCUGCCCAGUGCUGGAAGGUUAAAAGGAGGUGUGCAAGCAUCGAAUUGAAGCCCCAGUAAACGGCGGCCGUAACUAUAACGGUCCUAAGGUAGCGAAAUUCCUUGUCGGGUAAGUUCCGACCUGCACGAAUGGCGUAACGACUGCCCCACUGUCUCCAACGCAGACUCAGCGAAAUUGAAUUCCCCGUGAAGAUGCGGGGUACCCGCGGUUAGACGGAAAGACCCCGUGCACCUUUACUACAGCUUCGCAGUGGUAUUAGGGAUUUUAUGUGUAGGAUAGGCUGGAGACUUUGAAGCAGACACGCCAGUGUUUGUGGAGUCAUCCUUGAAAUACAGCCCUUAAAAUUCUUGAUAUCUAACCACGAUCCAUUAUCUGGAUCUGGGACCCUGCGUGGUGGGUAGUUUGACUGGGGCGGUCGCCUCCUAAAGAGUAACGGAGGCGCGCGAUGGUAGGCUCAAGUUGGUCGGAAAUCAACUGAUGAGUGCAAUGGCAUAAGCCUGCCUGACUGCGACACCGAUGGGUGGAGCAGAGACGAAAGUCGGUCAUAGUGAUCCGGUGGUCCCGUAUGGAAGGGCCAUCGCUCAACAGAUAAAAGGUACGCCGGGGAUAACAGGCUGAUACCCCCCAAGAGUCCACAUCGACGGGGGUGUUUGGCACCUCGAUGUCGGCUCAUCUCAUCCUGGGGCUGGAGCAGGUCCCAAGGGUAUGGCUGUUCGCCAUUUAAAGAGGUACGUGAGCUGGGUUUAGAACGUCGUGAGACAGUUCGGUCCCUAUCUGCCGUGGGUGUUCGAGAAUUGAGAGGAGCUGUCCCUAGUACGAGAGGACCGGGAUGGACAUACCUCUGGUGGACCUGUUGUUACGCCAGUAGCAUAGCAGGGUAGCUAAGUAUGGAAAGGAUAACCGCUGAAGGCAUCUAAGCGGGAAGCCCCCCUCAAAACUAGUUCU
RNAcentral lists this ribosomal RNA (2636 nucleotides) under Calvadosia cruxmelitensis. RNAcentral's name for it is "bacterial LSU rRNA". It matches the Rfam family "Bacterial large subunit ribosomal RNA". The record is from RNAcentral. Lineage: Eukaryota; Metazoa; Cnidaria; Staurozoa; Stauromedusae; Kishinouyeidae.